Molecule: long non-coding RNA, 792 nt
Organism: Lathyrus oleraceus (garden pea)
Lineage: Eukaryota; Viridiplantae; Streptophyta; Magnoliopsida; Fabales; Fabaceae
Exons: 3
Source: RefSeq, a predicted model, not a curated record
UCUCAUGGAGAAGACGUCAUUGUAAUGUAACUCAUGAUCUGUAUUUAGAGCAAUAAAAAUAUGUGAAGUACAAGUUUCCAUUAUAGUACAAGUGACGAGUACAAUUUUGAUCGAUGUUAAGAAAAGUAUAGUAAUAAUCUAUCUAAUAGAUAACAACUUGUCAAGUACCAAACUUAAAAGAUAUGUGUUCUCUCUAUUUUUCUCCUUCAAGGAAUGUGUUAAUCCAAACAGAACCUCUUGUAUUAGAAUCUGCAGCCAUAGUCAUGUGUUUUGCAGAAUUUUGAUUUGUUGCCGAGUGCAGUAGUCGACCACUUGUUAUUUUUUACCGAAAGAAAAUCAACUUGUUUCAUUCAUCGAAGCAUUCGCGCAAUAUGGGAUGGAGAUAACAUUAGAAACAGAUAUAAUAGCACCAAAUUCAGUUUGAGAAUUGGGAUUAUCGAUGACACCGUGUACAACUAGUUUACUAUGAAUAGGUUAGUAUAACCCAAGUUCCUAAUCCAAUGUAGUGCUUCCUUCAACCUCCAAGCUUUGGUUUCAUGAGGUAGAGGGCUACCUCUACUCCAUAUUGUUUCUGCUCUAAUAAAGUUUCUAUGAUCGUCUUCAAUAUACAUUCACAAAGUUAUAUAAUUGAACUUGGGGAAACCAUAGUAAUAAAUAGAAAAAAAAAGAAAGAAACAAAACCAUUUCCUUUAUCAAUCAACCAUAAACUUGCCUCCUCCCAAAUCUCUUUGCUUUGCUACACCUAACAAAAAUAAAUGUGUCAUUCAUUCUCAAAACUAAUUUGGCAAUACC